RNAcentral lists this long non-coding RNA (2037 nucleotides) under Canis lupus familiaris (dog). RNAcentral describes it as "lncRNA (ENSCAFG00040000192.1)". The record is from RNAcentral. Lineage: Eukaryota; Metazoa; Chordata; Mammalia; Carnivora; Canidae.
AUGUUGCACUCACAGCUGCCCCAACGCCCAGGCGCACCUCCCACCAGCACCCCCGGGAGGGCAGGGACCCUCCCCACCAGCUCCACGGUGUGGAGGACACAGCCCAGCAGCAAGCAAGGCACAUCCUUCGAGUUCUUCAGACGCAGAGAAGUUAGGAGAGAGGGAGGGGGAGGCCCUAGCAGAGCAUGGACCCUCCGGGACCCCAGCCUCCUGUUUGUGCUACUGGGCCAGGGGUCCUGGACAGAGAGAAGGAUGGGCAGACAGACAGCCAAGGCCUCUAACAGCUUUUGUCUUGAGCUAGACUUCAGUGUCCUUACAGUUGGUAAAUGGUUUUCUAUAGAAUCAAUAAUAUUUUUUCUUUCUUUAAAUAUAUAUUUGUUAAAGUUAUACCUUUUGUUUCUCUGGGGAAAUCUGCCUCAGCUCAUUCCCAAUAAAUUAAUACUCUCGAUAGCUUAUAUUCUGGGGGGUACAGCAGGGCAGGGCGCGACCCCACCCCAGCCCCUUGUGCUGCGCUGGAGCGGCUGGCAGAAGGUCCCCAAAGGGCAGUUCUGUGCUGGGCAUAGGCCUGUGCUCUGCCAGAUGGGGAGGGGGCGGAAGAGGCUGCCCCCCUCCCGCUGCCCGCCAGGCAGGGGCCCGGGGCUGCCCCUCCUCCGCCCGCAGCAGGCUGAGCCUGGCAUGGGUGGGCGGGUGGCCCAGCAGUUAUUGCACAGGGAGCAGCAGACGGGAGCGGGCACCCAGCGGGCAGCAGCGUUCACCCAGAGCCCUUGGGCCCCCUGGCCAGGCAGUCCUCCAGGCCUGCGCCCGGGGGCAGUUGUGCUUGUGCAGGGGACGGGCAGCACGGGCCUGCCGCCCCCCGCCUGGCCGGCCGUCCCCUGCGCCUGGCCUCCGCCGGCCGCCGCCCUGCCCGCUCGCGCUGCGCCCAGAGGUGCCCACCCUGAGGUAAAGGUCAGUGUGCGAGCCGGGCCCGGGCGGCGCGGGCAGGCCCGACGUGAGCGGCCGCGUCACUCCAGCAUGGCGUCCAGCUGGUCGGCCAGGUCGUCGAACAUGCUGCCGAUGUCGUCCAGGAUGCUGCCGGUGCUCUUCUCCUCGGCCGACGAGGGGCUGCGGGCCGGCGGGCGGGCGUGGGCGGGCGUGAGCGGGCGGGGCACCCCUGCCCGCGUCCCCCCAGGACCCGACCGCGACCCCUCUGCCCCCGCCCCUUCCCCGCUGCCCCGCCCCACUCGGCCCGCCCCCGCCCCGCAGACCCCGCCAGAGCCCAUCCCUUCCCUGCAGGCCCCGCCCCCGCGGCAGGCCCCGCCCCUUAUCCGCAGGCCCCGCCCCUUCCCGCAGGCCCUUCCCCCGCCGCAGCCCCGCCCCCCGCACCUACCGCACGCCCUGCGCAUCCUCCUGCCGGAUCUUCUCUUCCACGGCUUGCAGCGCUGCCGCCAGGCACGCGCUCGUCUCCUCCAGCUUCUGCCGGGCGCUGUCUCCCGGCGAGGCGCCCUCGGGUGCGGCGGGGGCCCCGGCGGCGGCGGCGGCGGCGGCGCGCGGCGGCUUGGCGGGCACGUGCAGCGCGGGCGCACCGGGGGACGGGGGUUUGGCGGGGCUGGCGCUCAGCGAGGGCGGCGUGCUGGCCGGCUUGGCGAGGGCGGCGGGCGGCUGGCGAGCGGGCGAGGGCGCUGGCGACGGGCUGGCACUGCCCGACUGCAGCCCCGCCGCGGCCUUGGCCGGCUUGGGCGCCGUGGGCGGCGGCGGCGGCUUGGGAGACACGGGCGGCGGCGUGCCGUGGGCGCGCUUCACCUCUGCGGGGAGGAGGAGACUCGCACCGGGGGCGGGGGGCGGCGGGACACACACCUGCCCUCGCGGCGGGAGUCCUGCCGGGGCCCCGCCCCCCCCGCCCCUCCACCUCCCGCCCCCCCUUCCCCGGACUCCCCGCUGCCGCCAGGGGGCGCGCCCCUCUCUGCGUACCUGUUGGCGCACCGCUUCCAGGCCCCUCCCGGUCUGCCCCCCAGCGCCAUGCCCCUUCAGGUGUGGCCUGCCACCACCAUUGGCCCUUGA